UACGUAGGUGGCAAGCGUUGUCCGGAAUUAUUGGGCGUAAAGCGCGCGCAGGCGGUUAUGUAAGUCUGAUGUUAAAGCCCGGGGCUCAACCUCGGUUCGCAUUGGAAACUGUGUAACUUGAGAGCAGAAGAGGAAAGUGGUAUUCCACGUGUAGCGGUGAAAUGCGUAGAGAUGUGGAGGAAUACCAGUGGCGAAGGCGACUUUCUGGUCUGUAACUGACGCUGAGGCGCGAAAGCGUGGGGAGCAAACAGG
Molecule: ribosomal RNA, 252 nt
Filed under: uncultured bacterium
Lineage: Bacteria
Description: partial 16S ribosomal RNA
Rfam family: Bacterial small subunit ribosomal RNA
Source: RNAcentral